GACGAACGCGGCGGCGUGCCUAAUACAUGCAAGUCGAACGAGAGCGACCGGUGCUUGCACUGGUCAAUCUAGUGGCGAACGGGUGAGUAACACGUGGGUAACCUGCCCAUCAGAGGGGGAUAACAUUCGGAAACGGAUGCUAAAACCGCAUAGGUUCUACAGUCGCAUGACUGAAGAAGGAAAAGAGGCUUCGGCUUCUGCUGAUGGAUGGACCCGCGGUGCAUUAGCUAGUUGGUGAGGUAACGGCUCACCAAGGCCGUGAUGCAUAGCCGGCCUGAGAGGGUGAUCGGCCACAUUGGGACUGAGACACGGCCCAAACUCCUACGGGAGGCAGCAGUAAGGAAUCUUCCGCAAUGGACGCAAGUCUGACGGAGCAACGCCGCGUGAGUGAAGAAGGAUUUCGGUUCGUAAAACUCUGUUGUUAGAGAAGAACAGCGCAUAGAGUAACUGUUAUGCGUGUGACGGAUCUAACCAGAAAGCCAUG
RNAcentral lists this ribosomal RNA (484 nucleotides) under Granulicatella elegans. RNAcentral's name for it is "bacterial SSU rRNA". It matches the Rfam family "Bacterial small subunit ribosomal RNA", at positions 28 to 495 of the family's 1533-position model. The record is from RNAcentral. Lineage: Bacteria; Bacillati; Bacillota; Bacilli; Lactobacillales; Carnobacteriaceae.